AGAGUUUGAUCCUGGCUCAGGAUGAACGCUAGCGGCAGGCUUAAUACAUGCAAGUCGAGGGGCAGCAUGAGUAGCAAUACUUGAUGGCGACCGGCAAACGGGUGCGGAACACGUACGCAACCUUCCUUUAAGUGGAGAAUAGCUCCCGGAAACGGGAAUUAAUACUCCGUAACAUUAUGAUGUGGCAUCACAUUAUAAUUAUAGAUUUAUCGCUUAAAGAUGGGCGUGCGCCUGAUUAGGUAGUUGGCGGGGUAACGGCCCACCAAGCCUUCGAUCAGUAACUGGCGUGAGAGCGCGACCAGUCACACGGGCACUGAGACACGGGCCCGACUCCUACGGGAGGCAGCAGUAAGGAAUAUUGGUCAAUGGACGCAAGUCUGAACCAGCCAUGCCGCGUGGAGGAUGAAGGUCCUCUGGAUUGUAAACUUCUUUUAUUUGGGACGAAAAAAGGGAAUUCUUUCCCACUUGACGGUACCAGAUGAAUAAGCACCGGCUAACUCCGUGCCAGCAGCCGCGGUAAUACGGAGGGUGCAAGCGUUAUCCGGAUUUACUGGGUUUAAAGGGUGCGCAGGCGGAUAUGUAAGUCAGUGGUGAAAUCUCUGGGCUUAACCCGGAAAUUGCCAUUGAUACUAUAUAUCUUGAAUGUUGUGGAGGUAAGCGGAAUAUGUCAUGUAGCGGUGAAAUGCUUAGAUAUGACAUAGAACACCUAUUGCGAAGGCAGCUUACUACGCAGAUAUUGACGCUCAUGCACGAAAGCGUGGGGAUCAAACAGGAUUAGAUACCCUAGUAGUCC
Molecule: ribosomal RNA, 793 nt
Filed under: uncultured bacterium
Lineage: Bacteria
Description: bacterial SSU rRNA
Rfam family: Bacterial small subunit ribosomal RNA
Source: RNAcentral